RNAcentral lists this small nuclear RNA (231 nucleotides) under Corchorus capsularis. Its description in RNAcentral is "U2 spliceosomal RNA". It matches the Rfam family "U2 spliceosomal RNA". Rfam says of the family: U2 is a small nuclear RNA (snRNA) component of the spliceosome (involved in pre-mRNA splicing). Complementary binding between U2 snRNA (in an area lying towards the 5' end but 3' to hairpin I) and the branchpoint sequence (BPS) of the intron results the bulging out of an unpaired adenosine, on the BPS, which initiates a nucleophilic attack at the intronic 5' splice site, thus starting the first of two transesterification reactions that mediate splicing. The record is from Rfam by way of RNAcentral. Lineage: Eukaryota; Viridiplantae; Streptophyta; Magnoliopsida; Malvales; Malvaceae.
AUACUUUUCUCGGUCUUUUGGCUAAGAUCAAGUGUAGUAUUUGUUCUUAUCAGUUUAAUAUCUGAUAACCCGAGCCUAUGGGUUCGGGGGCAAGCUUAUAGGUGUUAUAAUAUGUUUGUCUUGAUAUUAAUUUUUUCAUAGGGGAAGGACCCUUAAUAUAGUAGCUUGCUACUUGGGGUUCCUUCUGUGUCACCCUUACUUUGCACUUCGUGAGGGUAUGGCACACCCGUC